UACGGAAGGCAGCAGUGGGGAAUAUUGCACAAUGGGCGCAAGCCUGAUGCAGCCAUGCCGCGUGUAUGAAAAAGGCCUUCGGGUUGUAAAGUACUUUCAGUCGUGAGGAAGGUGUUAAGGUUAAUAACCUUAGCAAUUGACGUUAGCGACAGAAGAAGCACCGGCUAACUCCGUGCCAGCAGCCGCGGUAAUACGGAGGGUGCGAGCGUUAAUCGGAAUUACUGGGCGUAAAGGGCACGCAGGCGGUUAAUUAAGUUGGAUGUGAAAUCCCCGGGCUUAACCUGGGAAUGGCAUUCAAGACUGGUUAGCUAGAGUCUUGUAGAGGGGGUAGAAUUCCAUGUGUAGCGGUGAAAUGCGUAGAGAUGUGGAGGAAUACCGGUGGCGAAGGCGGCCCCUGGACAAAGACUGACGCUCAUGUGCGAAAGCGUGGGGAGCAAAACAGGGAUUAGAUACC
This 454-nucleotide ribosomal RNA is filed under the name uncultured bacterium. RNAcentral's name for it is "bacterial SSU rRNA". It matches the Rfam family "Bacterial small subunit ribosomal RNA", at positions 340 to 786 of the family's 1533-position model. The record is from RNAcentral.